RNAcentral lists this ribosomal RNA (301 nucleotides) under uncultured bacterium. RNAcentral describes it as "partial 16S ribosomal RNA". It matches the Rfam family "Bacterial small subunit ribosomal RNA", at positions 509 to 807 of the family's 1533-position model. The record is from RNAcentral.
CAGUAGCCGCGGUAAUACGAAGGUCCCGAGCGUUGUUCGGAAUCACUGGGCGUAAAGGGAGCGUAGGCGGCGUGGUAAGCCAGAUGUGAAAUCCCGGGGCUCAACCCCGGAACUGCAUCCGAUACUGCCAUGCUAGAGGAUUGGAGAGGUAGCUGGAAUUCUUGGUGUAGCAGUGAAAUGCGUAGAGAUGUGGAGGAACACCGAUGGCGAAGGCAGCCCCCUGGGCCAAUACUGACGCUCAUGCACGAAAGCGUGGGGAGCAAACAGGAUUAGAUACCCCCGUAGUCCCUGUCUCUUAUAC